Molecule: ribosomal RNA, 253 nt
Filed under: uncultured bacterium
Lineage: Bacteria
Description: partial 16S ribosomal RNA
Rfam family: Bacterial small subunit ribosomal RNA
Source: RNAcentral
UACGUAGGGUGCAAGCGUUAAUCGGAAUUACUGGGCGUAAAGCGUGCGCAGGCGGUUAUGCAAGGCAGAGGUGAAAUCCCCGGGCUCAACCUGGGAACUGCCUUUGUGACUGCAUAGCUAGAGUACGGUAGAGGGGGAUGGAAUUCCGCGUGUAGCAGUGAAAUGCGUAGAUAUGCGGAGGAACACCGAUGGCGAAGGCAAUCCCCUGGACCUGUACUGACGCUCACGCACGAAAGCGUGGGGAGCAAACAGG